RNAcentral lists this ribosomal RNA (210 nucleotides) under uncultured bacterium. Its description in RNAcentral is "partial 16S ribosomal RNA". It matches the Rfam family "Bacterial small subunit ribosomal RNA", at positions 57 to 305 of the family's 1533-position model. The record is from RNAcentral.
GCAAGUCGAACGACAUAGUGGCAGACGGGUGAGUAACGCGUGGGAACGUUCCUUUCACUACGGAAUAGCUCUUGGAAACGAGUGGUAAUACCGUAUACGCCCUCCGGGGGAAAGAUUUAUCGGUGAAAGAUCGGCCCGCGUUAGAUUAGCUUGUUGGUGAGGUAAUGGCUCACAAAGGCGACGAUCUAGAGCUGGUCUGAGAGGAUGAGC